Molecule: transfer RNA, 72 nt
Filed under: Camelus bactrianus (Bactrian camel)
Lineage: Eukaryota; Metazoa; Chordata; Mammalia; Artiodactyla; Camelidae
Also listed under: 2 other names
Rfam family: tRNA
About the family: Transfer RNA (tRNA) molecules are approximately 80 nucleotides in length. Their secondary structure includes four short double-helical elements and three loops (D, anti-codon, and T loops).
Source: Rfam by way of RNAcentral
AAGGGCAUAGCUCAGUGGUAGAGUGAAUGCUUAGAAUACACGAGGUCCUGGGUUCAAUCCCCAGUACCUCCA